AUUGAACGCUGGCGGAAUGCUUUACACAUGCAAGUCGAACGGUAGAGGGGGGCAACCCCUUGAGAGCGGCGAACGGGUGAGUAAUAUAUCGGAACGUGCCCAGUCGUGGGGAUAACGUAGCGAAAGUUACGCUAAUACCGCAUACGAUCUAAGGAUGAAAGCGGGGGAUCGCAAGACCUCGCGCGAUUGGAGCGGCCGAUAUCAGAUUAGGUAGUUGGUGAGGUAAAGGCUCACCAAGCCAACGAUCUGUAGCUGGUCUGAGAGGACGACCAGCCACACUGGAACUGAGACACGGUCCAGACUCCUACGGGAGGCAGCAGUGGGGAAUUUUGGACAAUGGACGCAAGUCUGAUCCAGCCAUUCCGCGUGCAGGAUGAAGGCCCUCGGGUUGUAAACUGCUUUUGUACGGAACGAAAAGGUUUCUAUUAAUACUAGGAGCUCAUGACGGUACCGUAAGAUAAAGCACCGGCUAACUACGUGCCAGCAG
Molecule: ribosomal RNA, 487 nt
Filed under: uncultured bacterium
Lineage: Bacteria
Description: bacterial SSU rRNA
Rfam family: Bacterial small subunit ribosomal RNA
Source: RNAcentral